CGCGAGCCCUGGGCGGCCGGCGCACGCGCGGUGCGGUGGCGGGCAAGAUGGCGGCGAGCAGGGCAGGUGUUUUCGCUGGACGGCGGCGGGCGAGGGCAGAGGCGGCCUGGAGUCGAGCAUGUGGGGGCCGCGGUGAGGCGAGGGUAGCCCACCGAAGGGGGACAUCUCAAAGAGAAGCAGCAAGACCUCGGGAUCCGGUGGUUCAUUUUGGUCGUCACCUGUGAGGCCAGCAUCCAAGAGUAAGAGGAAUCUAGGAGCAGUCUCAAAAAGAGAUGGAACCAAGGACAGCAAAUGCUGACCAAGAGAAGAGACGGACAAGCGUUUGCUUGUGGUUAAUACCGAAGGGACGGGAUGAAACAAGGAAGCCAGAAUGCAGCGGCCCCUCGAUAUCACCAGGAACUGCUACAGGAGGAGGCGUUCUGGCACGGGUAACUAAGCUCUCCGAGCUGAAUCCUAGCCCUGAAGGAAAAAGCACUGGGGGGAGGCUACUUGGACACCUGCCACGUCGAGGGCAGGGGCAGGAGCUGACCCUUCCCCGACGGACGGAUGGACGGACAGACACUGGUGCGGCGGUGACUCUUUGGAUAUCGCAGGUAAGGGGAGGCACGCUGGUGCUGAGCUCCAGGGCGGUUUGCCUGAACACGAUGUCCGGGGCAGGAGGUUACGCAUUGUGUCCGGGGCUGGGAGCUGGUCCCCGAGUCCCAUGUACUUGGGAGUGCCUGCGCUUGCCAGGGAGCCCGGUGCUGUUCCCAGAGCUGCGGGGAAUUUCCCUUGCGUUGCCUGGACCCUCGGGGCUCUUGGGGGUGUUUCCCCUCAUCGCGAGGGCAGCCAGAGCCCCUCCAGGGCUGCGUGAGGUCCCCGAACCGCUCCCGGAUUUGCUUUUGGCA
Molecule: long non-coding RNA, 887 nt
Organism: Dromaius novaehollandiae (emu)
Lineage: Eukaryota; Metazoa; Chordata; Aves; Casuariiformes; Dromaiidae
Exons: 4
Source: RefSeq, a predicted model, not a curated record